This is a long non-coding RNA of Cygnus olor (mute swan), 420 nucleotides long. RefSeq lists it as uncharacterized. The transcript is spliced from 4 exons. The record is from RefSeq and is a predicted model, not a curated record. NCBI's taxonomy places the organism in Eukaryota, Metazoa, Chordata, Aves, Anseriformes, Anatidae.
UCUCUGCCUGCAACAUCAUGAUGGAAGUGCCAAGAAGCAAUCAACAGAUGUCAAAGCACUGACAGAAUUACUUUCCUGGGGCACAGAAUGGAUUUUGAGUUCCCAAGUGGAUCAGAAUCUCCAUUAAAUAUAUCCUCAGGAGUCUGAUGGAAAGACUACAAUAUAAGUUUAGUUGCAAGAAGAGGUCUAUUCCCAGCCAUAUUAGCACCUACGUGAUUUAACCAAGUCAACUGAAUUUGAUGUUGUGUCCCAGUAAUGAUUUAAUAAGGAUUAAAGCUUCUGAAGCUUUACAAGAACCUCACAGGAAGUUCUACAUGAUGCAAUCAAGAAAUGCCCUUGGUGAUUGCUGCGGCAAUUUUAAAGACAUCAAGCAUUUUGAAACUUCUGCUUGAAUUUGUACUUUUUAUAUCUUUGGAAAUU